Molecule: long non-coding RNA, 836 nt
Organism: Onychostoma macrolepis
Lineage: Eukaryota; Metazoa; Chordata; Actinopteri; Cypriniformes; Cyprinidae
Exons: 4
Source: RefSeq, a predicted model, not a curated record
UUCAGAAUGUUCGGUUUCAGUGACCUGCUGCAGUGUUUGCGUGAGGACGAACGGAACAACCCGCAUAGAAAAAGCUGCUGUUUUGAAAAUAACCGCGUUCGUGUGGACGGCCAAUGAGCGCGCGCGUUGAGCAUUCAAAUCACAUUUAAACUGAAGCGGAGGAGGUUACCAUGGUAACAGGGCGUCAACUCACUCAGCUGACAGGUAGCGAGAAGCUGUCUCUCUGCUCUUUUCACUGCUUUCAGGUAAGUUUAGUCCCUAAAGUUACACAAAUAAUACAUACAACAUUUCCUGACACUUUCUUACAUGUUACUGACACGUUUCUGUUGAAUCUUUACUUUACAGGAGUGGUAUAGUGUCUUCAAAAAGACCGUUAGCAUCACAACCAUUAACUAUAGAGGCUAACAAUUAGAGGAGCGUCAGAAUAAAAUACCUAAAACAGGGGAAGUUACAAAAAAAUUUGUAAUGUGAGCUGUCGACAGAGAUACAGGAAACACAGAGCUGGAGCGGAGCAGAUCUCCUGUCGAAGAACAUCUCCAAAGCACCAUGAACCAUCUGACUAGGCAGUUCGUGAAGACGGAUAACCUGGACAGAAGUCAGUUCGAGAUCCAGCCUCCACACCAGACUUCUCACUCACAAGGAUUGCUGUCUACUAGAUAUUAUGUGUACUCUGCAGACUUAGGUUCAUGCAGAUAUUAUUCAGGGACAUGAACACUUGAAUACUGCAAAAAUAGAGAAACUACCUUUAUUUAAGAAUUUUGUGUUAAUUGUGUGAACAUUAAACAAAUAUAUAUUUAUUUUACUGUUUUUUUUUUGUUUUGUAUUCCAAAGCACCU